This 484-nucleotide ribosomal RNA is filed under the name uncultured bacterium. Its description in RNAcentral is "partial 16S ribosomal RNA". It matches the Rfam family "Bacterial small subunit ribosomal RNA", at positions 30 to 507 of the family's 1533-position model. The record is from RNAcentral.
UGAACGCUGGCGGCGUGCCUAAUACAUGCAAGUCGAACGCUGGAAAUCUAGCUUGCUAGCUUGAAGGAGUGGCGAACGGGUGAGUAAUACAUAAGCAACCUACCCACGAAGACUGGGAUAAUCUCUGGAAACGGGGACUAAUACCGGAUAGGUAAUCGGAAGGCAUCUUCUGAUUAUUAAAGGUUAAAAACACUGGUGGAUGGGCUUAUGGCGCAUUAGUUAGUUGGUGAGGUAACGGCCCACCAAGACGAUGAUGCGUAGCCGGCCUGAGAGGGUGAACGGCCACAUUGGGACUGAGACACGGCCCAGACUCCUACGGGAGGCAGCAGUAGGGAAUUUUCGGCAAUGGGGGAAACCCUGACCGAGCAACGCCGCGUGAGUGAUGACGGCCUUCGGGUUGUAAAGCUCUGUUGUAAGGGAAGAACGGUAGAUAGAGAAUAUCUAAAUGACGGUACCUUACCAGAAAGCCACGGCUAACUACGUG